Molecule: ribosomal RNA, 478 nt
Filed under: uncultured bacterium
Lineage: Bacteria
Description: bacterial SSU rRNA
Rfam family: Bacterial small subunit ribosomal RNA
Source: RNAcentral
AGCGGCAGGCUUAACACAUGCAAGUCGAGGGGCAGCAUAAUGGAUAGCAAUAUCUAUGGUGGCGACCGGCGCACGGGUGCGUAACGCGUAUGCAACCUACCUUUAACAGGGGGAUAACACUGAGAAAUUGGUACUAAUACCCCAUAAUAUCAUAGAAGGCAUCUUUUAUGGUUGAAAAUUCCGAUGGUUAGAGAUGGGCAUGCGUUGUAUUAGCUAGUUGGUGAGGUAACGGCUCACCAAGGCGACGAUACAUAGGGGGACUGAGAGGUUAACCCCCCACACUGGUACUGAGACACGGACCAGACUCCUACGGGAGGCAGCAGUGAGGAAUAUUGGUCAAUGGACGCAAGUCUGAACCAGCCAUGCCGCGUGCAGGAUGACGGCUCUAUGAGUUGUAAACUGCUUUUGUACUAGGGUAAACUCACCUACGUGUAGGUGACUGAAAGUAUAGUACGAAUAAGGAUCGGCUAACUCCGUG